GAUGAACGCUGGCGGCGUGCCUAAUACAUGCAAGUCGAGCGAACGGACGAGAAGCUUGCUUCUCUGAUGUUAGCGGCGGACGGGUGAGUAACACGUGGAUAACCUACCUAUAAGACUGGGAUAACUUCGGGAAACCGGAGCUAAUACCGGAUAAUAUUUUGAACCGCAUGGUUCAAAAGUGAAAGACGGUCUUGCUGUCACUUAUAGAUGGAUCCGCGCUGCAUUAGCUAGUUGGUAAGGUAACGGCUUACCAAGGCAACGAUGCAUAGCCGACCUGAGAGGGGGAUAGGCCACACUGGAACUGAGACACGGUCCAGACUCCUACGGGAGGCAGCAGUAGGGAAUCGUCCGCAAAGGGCGAAAGCCUGACGGAGCAACGCCGCGUGAGUGAUGAAGGUCUUCGGAUCGUAAAACUCUGUUAUUAGGGAAGAACAUAUGUGUAAGUAACUGUGCACAUCUUGACGGUACCUAAUCAGAAAGCCACGGCUAACUACGUG
RNAcentral lists this ribosomal RNA (497 nucleotides) under uncultured bacterium. Its description in RNAcentral is "partial 16S ribosomal RNA". It matches the Rfam family "Bacterial small subunit ribosomal RNA", at positions 28 to 507 of the family's 1533-position model. The record is from RNAcentral.